Molecule: non-coding RNA, 102 nt
Filed under: Novibacillus thermophilus
Lineage: Bacteria; Bacillati; Bacillota; Bacilli; Caryophanales; Thermoactinomycetaceae
Description: Glycine sequence
Rfam family: Glycine riboswitch aptamer
About the family: This family represents the bacterial glycine riboswitch. Glycine riboswitches usually consist of two metabolite-binding aptamers domains with similar structures in tandem.
Source: Rfam by way of RNAcentral
GGACGCACCUCUGGAGAGAGCCGCUCGCGGCCACCGAAGGGGCAAACCAAUCUGCACGAUGCGGAUUGCGAAACUCUCAGGUAAAAGGACAGGGGAACGGAU